RNAcentral lists this ribosomal RNA (427 nucleotides) under uncultured bacterium. RNAcentral describes it as "partial 16S ribosomal RNA". It matches the Rfam family "Bacterial small subunit ribosomal RNA", at positions 355 to 774 of the family's 1533-position model. The record is from RNAcentral.
UGGGGAAUAUUGCACAAUGGGCGCAAGCCUGAUGCAGCCAUGCCGCGUGUAUGAAGAAGGCCUUCGGGUUGUAAAGUACUUUCAGCGGGGAGGAAGGUGUUGUGGUUAAUAACCACAGCAAUUGACGUUACCCGCAGAAGAAGCACCGGCUAACUCCGUGCCAGCAGCCGCGGUAAUACGGAGGGUGCAAGCGUUAAUCGGAAUUACUGGGCGUAAAGCGCACGCAGGCGGUCGGUCAAGUCGGAUGUGAAAUCCCCGGGCUCAACCUGGGAACUGCAUCCGAAACUGGCAGGCUUGAGUCUUGUAGAGGGGGGUAGAAUUCCAGGUGUAGCGGUGAAAUGCGUAGAGAUCUGGAGGAAUACCGGUGGCGAAGGCGGCCCCCUGGACAAAGACUGACGCUCAGGUGCGAAAGCGUGGGGAGCAAACA